Molecule: unclassified non-coding RNA, 368 nt
Filed under: Hevea brasiliensis (rubber tree)
Lineage: Eukaryota; Viridiplantae; Streptophyta; Magnoliopsida; Malpighiales; Euphorbiaceae
Source: RNAcentral
GCACUGAGCCACCAUGUAAGCCACAGCCCUGAUUAGUGAAACCUUCCUCGCCAAGAACAGUCCAAAACUGACCGCCGGGUUAAUAUGACCACCUGCACCCAAAACAACCAAAACCCAUAAACAAACACCUCUCAAAACCAACUAGAUGCAGAGUAUUUUUCAAGUAGAGAGAUGGCUUUGAGUAUACAAAACAGAAAAACACUAAUUCGCAUACGUUUCGUUAAAUGGAUUACAAAAAUAACUAAAUUUCAUCAAAUAACACGAUUUGCGCAUGCAUAAUUUAGAAGGUAGUUAAGGCGUAGAAAAAAGGUUUCUUACCGGAGAUACCAGCAGUGCAGUAAACCAGAAUGAAAAUCAUGCCACCAAAG